UGAGGAAUAUUGGUCAAUGGGCGCGAGCCUGAACCAGCCAAGUCGCGUGAGGGAUGACGGUCCUACGGAUUGUAAACCUUCUUUUGGCCGGGGAGCAAGCGUGCGUUCGUGAACGCACGUCGAGAGUACCCGGAAGAAAAAGCAUCGGCUAACUCCGUGCC
RNAcentral lists this ribosomal RNA (161 nucleotides) under uncultured bacterium. RNAcentral describes it as "partial 16S ribosomal RNA". It matches the Rfam family "Bacterial small subunit ribosomal RNA", at positions 355 to 509 of the family's 1533-position model. The record is from RNAcentral.